Molecule: ribosomal RNA, 570 nt
Filed under: Pseudomonas sp.
Lineage: Bacteria; Pseudomonadati; Pseudomonadota; Gammaproteobacteria; Pseudomonadales; Pseudomonadaceae
Description: bacterial SSU rRNA
Rfam family: Bacterial small subunit ribosomal RNA
Source: RNAcentral
UGAGAGCGGCGGACGGGUGAGUAAUGCCUAGGAAUCUGCCUGGUAGUGGGGGAUAACGUUCGGAAACGGACGCUAAUACCGCAUACGUCCUACGGGAGAAAGCAGGGGACCUUCGGGCCUUGCGCUAUCAGAUGAGCCUAGGUCGGAUUAGCUAGUUGGUGGGGUAAUGGCUCACCAAGGCGACGAUCCGUAACUGGUCUGAGAGGAUGAUCAGUCACACUGGAACUGAGACACGGUCCAGACUCCUACGGGAGGCAGCAGUGGGGAAUAUUGGACAAUGGGCGAAAGCCUGAUCCAGCCAUGCCGCGUGUGUGAAGAAGGUCUUCGGAUUGUAAAGCACUUUAAGUUGGGAGGAAGGGUUGUAAAUUAAUACUCUGCUGUUUUGACGUUACCGACAGAAUAAGCACCGGCUAACUCUGUGCCAGCAGCCGCGGUAAUACAGAGGGUGCAAGCGUUAAUCGGAAUUACUGGGCGUAAAGCGCGCGUAGGUGGUUAGUUAAGUUGGAUGUGAAAUCCCCGGGCUCAACCUGGGAACUGCAUUCAAAACUGACUGACUAGAGUAUGGUAGAG